This is a long non-coding RNA of Oncorhynchus keta (chum salmon), 716 nucleotides long. RefSeq lists it as uncharacterized. NCBI's taxonomy places the organism in Eukaryota, Metazoa, Chordata, Actinopteri, Salmoniformes, Salmonidae. The transcript is spliced from 4 exons. The record is from RefSeq and is a predicted model, not a curated record.
GUCUCACCGCUAGGUUACUAAGUCUCUGAGCACGCGGUCUCACCGCUAGGUUACUAAGUCUCUGAGCACGCGGUCUCACCGCUAGGUUACUAAGUCUCUGAGCACGCGGUCUCACCGCUAGGUUACUAAGUCUCUGAGCACGCGGUCUCACCGCUAGGUUACUAAGUCUCUGAGCACGCGGUCUCACCGCUAGGUUACUAAGUCUCUGAGCACGCGGUCUCACCGCUAGGUUACUAAGUCUCUGAGCACGCGGUCUCACCGCUAGGUUACUAAGUCUCUGAGCACGCGGUCUCACCGCUAGGUUACUAAGUCUCUGAGCACGCGGUCUCACCGCUAGGUUACUAAGUCUCUGAGCACGCGGUCUCACCGCUAGGUUACUAAGUCUCUGAGCACGCGGUCUCACCGCUAGGUUACUAAGUCUCUGAGCACGCGGUCUCACCGCUAGGUUACUAAGUCUCUGAGCACGCGGUCUCACCGCUAGGUUACUAAGUCUCUGAGCACGCGGUCUCACCGCUAGGUUACUAAGUCUCUGAGCACGCGGUCUCACCGCUAGGUUACUAAGUCUCUGAGCACGCGGUCUCACCGCUAGGUUACUAAGUCUCUGAGCACGCGGUCUCACCGCUAGGUUACUAAGUCUCUGAGCACGCGGUCUCACCGCUAGGUUACUAAGUCUCUGAGCACGCGGUCUCACCGCUAGGUUACUAAGUCUCUGAGCA